GACGAACGCUUUCGGCGUGCUUAACACAUGCAAGUCGAACGGAAAGGCCCUGCUUUUGUGGGGUGCUCGAGUGGCGAACGGGUGAGUAACACGUGAGUAACCUGCCCUUGACUUUGGGAUAACUUCAGGAAACGGGGGCUAAUACCGGAUAGGAGCUCCUGCUGCAUGGUGGGGGUUGGAAAGUUUCGGCGGUUGGGGAUGGACUCGCGGCUUAUCAGCUUGUUGGUGGGGUAGUGGCUUACCAAGGCUUUGACGGGUAGCCGGCCUGAGAGGGUGACCGGCCACAUUGGGACUGAGAUACGGCCCAGACUCCUACGGGAGGCAGCAGUGGGGAAUAUUGCACAAUGGGCGGAAGCCUGAUGCAGCAACGCCGCGUGCGGGAUGACGGCCUUCGGGUUGUAAACCGCUUUCGCCUGUGACGAAGCGUGAGUGACGGUAAUGGGUAAAGAAGCACCGGCUAACUACGUGCCAGCAGCCGCGGUGAUACGUAGGGUGCGAGCGUUGUCCGGAUUUAUUGGGCGUAAAGGGCUCGUAGGUGGUUGAUCGCGUCGGAAGUGUAAUCUUGGGGCUUAACCCUGAGCGUGCUUUCGAUACGGGUUGACUUGAGGAAGGUAGGGGAGAAUGGAAUUCCUGGUGGAGCGGUGGAAUGCGCAGAUAUCAGGAGGAACACCAGUGGCGAAGGCGGUUCUCUGGGCCUUUCCUGACGCUGAGGAGCGAAAGCGUGGGGAGCGAACAGGCUUAGAUACCCUGGUAGUCCACGCUGUAAACGGUGGGUACUAGGUGUGGGGUCCAUUCCACGGGUUCCGUGCCGUAGCUAACGCUUUAAGUACCCCGCCUGGGGAGUACGGCCGCAAGGCUAAAACUCAAAGGAAUUGACGGGGCCCCGCACAUGCGGCGGAGCAUGCGGAUUAAUUCGAUGCAACGCGUAGAACCUUACCUGGGUUUGACAUGGAUCGGGAGUGCUCAGAGAUGGGUGUGCCUCUUUUGGGGUCGGUUCACAGGUGGUGCAUGGCUGUCGUCAGCUCGUGUCGUGAGAUGUUGGGUUAAGUCCCGCAACGAGCGCAACCCUUGUUCACUGUUGCCAGCACGUUAUGGUGGGGACUCAGUGGAGACCGCCGGGGUCAACUCGGAGGAAGGUGGGGAUGACGUCAAGUCAUCAUGCCCCUUAUGUCCAGGGCUUCACGCAUGCUACAAUGGCUGGUACAGAGAGUGGCGAGCCUGUGAGGGUGAGCGAAUCUCGGAAAGCCGGUCUCAGUUCGGAUUGGGGUCUGCAACUCGACCUCAUGAAGUCGGAGUCGCUAGUAAUCGCAGAUCAGCAACGCUGCGGUGAAUACGUUCCCGGGGCU
Molecule: ribosomal RNA, 1346 nt
Filed under: uncultured bacterium
Lineage: Bacteria
Description: partial 16S ribosomal RNA
Rfam family: Bacterial small subunit ribosomal RNA
Source: RNAcentral